GCCUUUGUGGUGGAAUGGUAGACACAACAGAUUCAAAAUCUGUCGCUCAUAAAAGCGUGCUGGUUCAAGUCCAGUCAAGGGCA
This is a transfer RNA of Orientia tsutsugamushi, 83 nucleotides long. It matches the Rfam family "tRNA". Rfam says of the family: Transfer RNA (tRNA) molecules are approximately 80 nucleotides in length. Their secondary structure includes four short double-helical elements and three loops (D, anti-codon, and T loops). The record is from Rfam. NCBI's taxonomy places the organism in Bacteria, Pseudomonadati, Pseudomonadota, Alphaproteobacteria, Rickettsiales, Rickettsiaceae.